RNAcentral lists this ribosomal RNA (625 nucleotides) under Suhomyces choctaworum. Its description in RNAcentral is "LSU rRNA". It matches the Rfam family "Eukaryotic large subunit ribosomal RNA", at positions 92 to 743 of the family's 3401-position model. The record is from RNAcentral. Lineage: Eukaryota; Fungi; Ascomycota; Pichiomycetes; Serinales; Debaryomycetaceae.
AGUGAAGCGGCAAAAGCUCAAAUUUGAAAUCUGGCCUUGCGGUCCGAAUUGUAAUUUGAAGAAGCGACUCUGGACCCGGCCCUUGUCUAUGUUCCUUGGAACAGGACGUCACAGAGGGUGAGAAUCCCGUGCGAUGGGGGUGCCUGGGUCUAUGUAGAGCGUUUUCGACGAGUCGAGUUGUUUGGGAAUGCAGCUCUAAGUGGGUGGUAAAUUCCAUCUAAAGCUAAAUAUUGGCGAGAGACCGAUAGCGAACAAGUACAGUGAUGGAAAGAUGAAAAGAACUUUGAAAAGAGAGUGAAAAAGUACGUGAAAUUGUUGAAAGGGAAGGGCUUGGGAUCAGACAUUGUAUUUCCAUGGCGCUCUCUCGGGGGUGUCCUCUGGGCUUACAGGGCCAGCAUGGGUUCUGCGGGCAAGACAAGGCCGCGAGGAAUGUAGCUCUGCUGCGGCGGAGUGUUAUAGCCUCACGGUACGGUUGCCACGCGGGACCGAGGACUGCGAAUCUAGGAUGCUGGCAUAAUGAUCUUAAGCCGCCCGUCUUGAAACACGGACCAAGGAGUCUAACGUCUAUGCGAGUGUUUGGGUGUAAAACCCGUACGCGGAAUGAAAGUGAACGUAGGUGAGAGCC